RNAcentral lists this long non-coding RNA (734 nucleotides) under Chloebia gouldiae (Gouldian finch). RNAcentral's name for it is "Erythrura gouldiae (Gouldian finch) lncRNA (ENSEGOG00005010721.1)". Lineage: Eukaryota; Metazoa; Chordata; Aves; Passeriformes; Passeridae. The record is from RNAcentral.
CACGGUGGUGACACCACGACCACCCCGGUGCCACGGCAGGCAUGGUGGUGACACCACGGCCGUGGCGGUGACGCUCUCGCCGUGCCAGGUGCUGGUCAGCGAGCUGCACCGCCGCGUGCUCGUCGAGUACGUGCGGCCGCUGCUGCAGGGGCGCCUGGUGUGCGCCUCGGCCAAGGCGCGCGCCCGCGUGGCCGCCCGGCUGGGCGACGAGGCCCGGCAGCUCCGCGAGCUCUUCACGCGCCUGGACUCGGCCUCGCCCUGGCUGGACUCGGUGGUGCCGCGGCUGCGGGAGCUGCUGGUGCUGGAGGACACGGCCGCGCUGCAGAUGGAGGUCGGCGCCCUGGCCCGGGACUUCCCCGACGUCCGGCGGAGGCACGUGGCCGCGCUGCUGGACGCGCGUGGGCUGCGGGCUCAGGGCCCCCGGCGAGAGAUCCUGGGGGUGCUGCAGGAUCUGGGGGGGUCGUCGGAGGCCGAACCGGGACCCCCGCUCCGGCACCGGACGUUCUUCUCGGAGCUGCCGGCGCCGCGCCCCGUGCGCUGCCUCCCGUUCCACCUGCCCCGGCUGCGGCUGCCGCGCCGCAGCCCCGCCAGGACCCCCCCGUGACCCCCCCCGGGGGUGGGGGGACACCCCAAAACCCGGGUGUCACCCCCGCCCCGGACCCCCCCAGUGCCUCCCAGUUCCGCCCAGUCCCUCCCAGUUCCCCCCAGGGUGUAAAGGGUGAAUUUAAGGCCAG